Molecule: transfer RNA, 72 nt
Organism: Ovis aries (sheep)
Lineage: Eukaryota; Metazoa; Chordata; Mammalia; Artiodactyla; Bovidae
Rfam family: tRNA
About the family: Transfer RNA (tRNA) molecules are approximately 80 nucleotides in length. Their secondary structure includes four short double-helical elements and three loops (D, anti-codon, and T loops). Further hydrogen bonds mediate the characteristic L-shaped molecular structure. tRNAs have two regions of fundamental functional importance: the anti-codon, which is responsible for specific mRNA codon recognition, and the 3' end, to which the tRNAs corresponding amino acid is attached (by aminoacyl-tRNA synthetases). tRNAs cope with the degeneracy of the genetic code in two manners: having more than one tRNA (with a specific anti-codon) for a particular amino acid; and 'wobble' base-pairing, i.e. permitting non-standard base-pairing at the 3rd anti-codon position.
Source: Rfam
UCCCUGGUGGUCCAGUGGUUAAGAAUCUGCCUUGCAAUGCAGAGGGCUCAGGUUCAAUUCCUGGUCUGGGAA